GGGUUGUGAGGUUAAGCGACUAAGCGUACACGGUGGAUGCCCUGGCAGUCAGAGGCGAUGAAGGACGUGCUAAUCUGCGAUAAGCGUCGGUAAGGUGAUAUGAACCGUUAUAACCGGCGAUUUCCGAAUGGGGAAACCCAGUGUGUUUCGACACACUAUCAUUAACUGAAUCCAUAGGUUAAUGAGGCGAACCGGGGGAACUGAAACAUCUAAGUACCCCGAGGAAAAGAAAUCAACCGAGAUUCCCCCAGUAGCGGCGAGCGAACGGGGAGCAGCCCAGAGCCUGAAUCAGUGUGUGUGUUAGUGGAAGCGUCUGGAAAGGCGCGCGAUACAGGGUGACAGCCCCGUACACAAAAAUGCACAUACUGUGAGCUCGAUGAGUAGGGCGGGACACGUGGUAUCCUGUCUGAAUAUGGGGGGACCAUCCUCCAAGGCUAAAUACUCCUGACUGACCGAUAGUGAACCAGUACCGUGAGGGAAAGGCGAAAAGAACCCCGGCGAGGGGAGUGAAAAAGAACCUGAAACCGUGUACGUACAAGCAGUGGGAGCCUCUUAAUGGGGUGACUGCGUACCUUUUGUAUAAUGGGUCAGCGACUUAUAUUCUGUAGCAAGGUUAACCGAAUAGGGGAGCCGAAGGGAAACCGAGUCUUAACUGGGCGUUAAGUUGCAGGGUAUAGACCCGAAACCCGGUGAUCUAGCCAUGGGCAGGUUGAAGGUUGGGUAACACUAACUGGAGGACCGAACCGACUAAUGUUGAAAAAUUAGCGGAUGACUUGUGGCUGGGGGUGAAAGGCCAAUCAAACCGGGAGAUAGCUGGUUCUCCCCGAAAGCUAUUUAGGUAGCGCCUCGUGAAUUCAUCUCCGGGGGUAGAGCACUGUUUCGGCAAGGGGGUCAUCCCGACUUACCAACCCGAUGCAAACUGCGAAUACCGGAGAAUGUUAUCACGGGAGACACACGGCGGGUGCUAACGUCCGUCGUGAAGAGGGAAACAACCCAGACCGCCAGCUAAGGUCCCAAAGUCAUGGUUAAGUGGGAAACGAUGUGGGAAGGCCCAGACAGCCAGGAUGUUGGCUUAGAAGCAGCCAUCAUUUAAAGAAAGCGUAAUAGCUCACUGGUCGAGUCGGCCUGCGCGGAAGAUGUAACGGGGCUAAACCAUGCACCGAAGCUGCGGCAGCGACACUAUGUGUUGUUGGGUAGGGGAGCGUUCUGUAAGCCUGUGAAGGUGUACUGUGAGGUAUGCUGGAGGUAUCAGAAGUGCGAAUGCUGACAUAAGUAACGAUAAAGCGGGUGAAAAGCCCGCUCGCCGGAAGACCAAGGGUUCCUGUCCAACGUUAAUCGGGGCAGGGUGAGUCGACCCCUAAGGCGAGGCCGAAAGGCGUAGUCGAUGGGAAACAGGUUAAUAUUCCUGUACUUGGUGUUACUGCGAAGGGGGGACGGAGAAGGCUAUGUUGGCCGGGCGACGGUUGUCCCGGUUUAAGCGUGUAGGCUGGUUUUCCAGGCAAAUCCGGAAAACUAAGGCUGAGGCGUGAUGACGAGGCACUACGGUGCUGAAGCAACAAAUGCCCUGCUUCCAGGAAAAGCCUCUAAGCAUCAGGUAACAUCAAAUCGUACCCCAAACCGACACAGGUGGUCAGGUAGAGAAUACCAAGGCGCUUGAGAGAACUCGGGUGAAGGAACUAGGCAAAAUGGUGCCGUAACUUCGGGAGAAGGCACGCUGAUAUGUAGGUGAAGUCCCUCGCGGAUGGAGCUGAAAUCAGUCGAAGAUACCAGCUGGCUGCAACUGUUUAUUAAAAACACAGCACUGUGCAAACACGAAAGUGGACGUAUACGGUGUGACGCCUGCCCGGUGCCGGAAGGUUAAUUGAUGGGGUUAGCGGUAACGCGAAGCUCUUGAUCGAAGCCCCGGUAAACGGCGGCCGUAACUAUAACGGUCCUAAGGUAGCGAAAUUCCUUGUCGGGUAAGUUCCGACCUGCACGAAUGGCGUAAUGAUGGCCAGGCUGUCUCCACCCGAGACUCAGUGAAAUUGAACUCGCUGUGAAGAUGCAGUGUACCCGCGGCAAGACGGAAAGACCCCGUGAACCUUUACUAUAGCUUGACACUGAACAUUGAGCCUUGAUGUGUAGGAUAGGUGGGAGGCUUUGAAGUGUGGACGCCAGUCUGCAUGGAGCCGGCCUUGAAAUACCACCCUUUAAUGUUUGAUGUUCUAACGUUGGCCCCUGAUCGGGGUUGCGGACAGUGUCUGGUGGGUAGUUUGACUGGGGCGGUCUCCUCCUAAAGAGUAACGGAGGAGCACGAAGGUUGGCUAAUCCUGGUCGGACAUCAGGAGGUUAGUGCAAUGGCAUAAGCCAGCUUGACUGCGAGCGUGACGGCGCGAGCAGGUGCGAAAGCAGGUCAUAGUGAUCCGGUGGUUCUGAAUGGAAGGGCCAUCGCUCAACGGAUAAAAGGUACUCCGGGGAUAACAGGCUGAUACCGCCCAAGAGUUCAUAUCGACGGCGGUGUUUGGCACCUCGAUGUCGGCUCAUCACAUCCUGGGGCUGAAGUAGGUCCCAAGGGUAUGGCUGUUCGCCAUUUAAAGUGGUACGCGAGCUGGGUUUAGAACGUCGUGAGACAGUUCGGUCCCUAUCUGCCGUGGGCGCUGGAGAACUGAGGGGGGCUGCUCCUAGUACGAGAGGACCGGAGUGGACGCAUCACUGGUGUUCGGGUUGUCAUGCCAAUGGCACUGCCCGGUAGCUAAAUGCGGAAGAGAUAAGUGCUGAAAGCAUCUAAGCACGAAACUUGCCCCGAGAUGAGUUCUCCCUGACUCCUUGAGAGUCCUGAAGGAACGUUGAAGACGACGACGUUGAUAGGCCGGGUGUGUAAGCGCAGCGAUGCGUUGAGCUAACCGGUACUAAUGAACCGUGAGGCUUAACCUUACAACGCCGAAG
Molecule: ribosomal RNA, 2925 nt
Filed under: Escherichia coli
Lineage: Bacteria; Pseudomonadati; Pseudomonadota; Gammaproteobacteria; Enterobacterales; Enterobacteriaceae
Description: partial 23S ribosomal RNA
Rfam family: Bacterial large subunit ribosomal RNA
Source: RNAcentral